GCUGGUCGCAACAAUGUCUUCAAACAAGAAAACAAAAGCAUGAAGUCUAUCAACAAUGCUGAAACUGAAAGAAGAUGGCCUAGAAAGCUUGUGACAAAUAUUUGUAUUGGAGCAGCAAAAGAAUCAAUCACCCAAUUCACAGAAAUAUAUAACAUUGUUAAUUAUGUGUCCACGGGUGUCCCCUAUAUAUCACCUGAGACUGAUCACUCAAAUAUUUAGGGGGAAUUACACAGGACUUAUCAACUACUACAAUUUUAAGAUCCCUGGACAUCAGUUAGGGAAAGUUGACGCAAAGGUUUGCUGAGUUCCAGAAGGUCUUCCAAUAACUGCAGGUGGAUCUUUUACCUUUGGAAUGAAGAAACACUAUAUCUACUAGGACAUAAUAGUCAUCCAAAUUUAUUCAGCACUCAUCCAGAAUAAAAGUCUUCAAUUUGUCUCGUCUUCAGUCUGAUAAGAUUCUCCUCAUAUAUCUUUUGUUACAGAGCAAAAACUGAGGAAAAAUGUCCAGAAAAGAGAGUGAUGGAGGAAGCACAUAGCAAU
This 540-nucleotide long non-coding RNA is filed under the name Eucalyptus grandis. Its description in RNAcentral is "long non-coding RNA (EGRA_LNC007701)". Lineage: Eukaryota; Viridiplantae; Streptophyta; Magnoliopsida; Myrtales; Myrtaceae. The record is from RNAcentral.